GACGAACGCUGGCGGCGUGCUUAACACGUGCAAGUCGAACGGAAAGGCCCUGCUUUUGUUGGGUGCUCGAGUGGCGAACGGGUGAGUAACACGUGAGUAACCUGCCCUUGACUUUGGGAUAACUUCAGGAAACUGGGGCUAAUACCGGAUAUGAUCUCCUGCUGCAUGGUGGGGGUUGGAAAGUUUCGGCGGUUGGGGAUGGACUCGCGGCUUAUCAGCUUGUUGGUGGGGUAGUGGCUUACCAAGGCUUUGACGGGUAGCCGGCCUGAGAGGGUGACCGGCCACAUUGGGACUGAGAUACGAGCCAGACUGCUACGGGAGGCAGCAGUGGGGACUAUUGCACAAUGGGCGGAAGCCUGAUGCAGCAACGCCGCGUGCGGGAUGACGGCCUUCGGGGUGGAAACCGUUUUCGCCGGAGACGAAGCGUGAGUGACGGUAAUGGGUAAAGAAGCACCGGCUAACUACGUG
This 468-nucleotide ribosomal RNA is filed under the name uncultured bacterium. Its description in RNAcentral is "partial 16S ribosomal RNA". It matches the Rfam family "Bacterial small subunit ribosomal RNA", at positions 28 to 507 of the family's 1533-position model. The record is from RNAcentral.